Long non-coding RNA from Strongylocentrotus purpuratus (purple sea urchin), 353 nucleotides. RefSeq lists it as uncharacterized. NCBI's taxonomy places the organism in Eukaryota, Metazoa, Echinodermata, Echinoidea, Camarodonta, Strongylocentrotidae. The transcript has 2 exons. The record is from RefSeq and is a predicted model, not a curated record.
CAUCUGUGGGCGUGGUCGGCGUAGCCCUGGGGUAUGGUAGGGUUGGGUACACUUUGUACAGGUACUAGGUACCACCGAAUGAGUAUUCCUCACUGCACUCCUUUGCACGUCGACUGAGCUGAGCGAGGAAUAAAAAGCUGUGGAUUGUUUCUGGAAAAUACAAGGGAGCUAAAACUUCAUCACCAUGUUCAAGCAAAAAGUGAUCAAGCAGGGGAAGGAGUAUGAUAGCAUCGUACGGCAGUGCAGACAGUCAGGGGCCAAGUUUGAGGACCCUCUCUUUCCUGCUUGCGUUGAAUCGCUUUUCUUUGAGCAGAAGCCGCCUCAGCCAUUCGUAUGGAAGCGACCCAGCGUAA